UAUAACAGUUUGUUUUAUAUAAUGUGCAA
Molecule: non-coding RNA, 29 nt
Filed under: Mus musculus (house mouse)
Lineage: Eukaryota; Metazoa; Chordata; Mammalia; Rodentia; Muridae
Source: RNAcentral